Molecule: long non-coding RNA, 5516 nt
Organism: Odontomachus brunneus
Lineage: Eukaryota; Metazoa; Arthropoda; Insecta; Hymenoptera; Formicidae
Exons: 3
Source: RefSeq, a predicted model, not a curated record
CGCUCGGUCCGCGUCUCCUGCCUGAGUGGCCGAGCGUCAAGGUGUUGUGCGUCCGUGGGGAGUCCUCCUGCUCGGAGCCGCCGUGUCCGGAAUCACGGGAGUAGGAUUUAAAAGAAAUGUUCUGCGGAGAGAGUUGAUGCGUUACAGGAUGAGGCCAAUUAUUCCAGUCUCAAGACAUUGAUAUGUAAAAGCAAAGCAAACCGGAGGAAGAUCACAGACGAAAAACUAUGACGCAAGCCGUGUCGCCAACUCGAAAAAUAAUCUCAUUUUACACACCGACAAGAUAUGUCCGCAUCUCCAUGCUCAAAAUUCGGAUUGGGCUCGCUGCUGGGAUGCGUGAGAGUGAUUAGGUGCUGUGCUGAGUGAAAAUGAAUACCGCACACCAUGCAGAAACAAAAGAAAGAAAGACAGAGAGCGAGAGACCAUAAGACAAGACACGAUCAGCGGAGACGGCUCUAGUUUUGGCGAAAGCAUCGGUAUAAAAAAGUUAUAUUCAACGCGAGGCCCUGCGUACACACAGUCUAGCGACGUCUUUAUAAAUACGAGAGAACCGUGUUGUAAUAAAGCAAAUAUCAAAGUCGUAAUCAGCGAGAUUCUCACUAGAGAUAGCGGGGAUGCUCGCAAACACGAGGAUGGUGGUUGCCGAGGUAUUUGCGAACGCGUGAACUAUAUCCUCGAUUAGUAUGAUCUUUGUAAAUGCGCGAUCCUCCGCGAGAACACAAAGACUACGGUUAAUUCUUGUAAACGCAGGCUAUUUGCGAACGUAAAGAUCAUAUUUAGCGAGGAUCUCGUCAAUGCGGGAGCAGCGGCUCGGCAAACACAGCCGCUCGCAAAUACGAAGACCCAUCAUGAUUUCGAAACAUUUGGCGGAUGCGCCGCGCGGUUCAAUUAUGAAUGAGAAGAGCGUUGCCCGAAAGUAAAGCAGCACCUUUUCAUAAAAACGCGCAUGCCAGACGAGACUAAUUAUUCUUCAUUAAUUAAAAGUUGCGACAAAUGUUUGCGCGCGUAUCGAAUUAUAACAUACAAUUGGAAUUACACUGAAACCAUCCUCGAUAAUGAAAAAGUCGGAAUAAUUGAAGAAUUAAUUAAUACAUCAAAUUAACGCGAAAUUGUAAACACGCACUCUCUCUCAUCAUUUACGUUUCAAUAAUUCGAUUCAAUGAAACGCACCUUUCUCUUUAGGGGAGACCGUGUUUAUAACAAAAGCAAAUUAUACCACCCCCACAUCCGAACGUCUCGAUCGCUCCAAUCAACUGCGUGAAAAAAUUGCGUCGCGACUCACCACGCUCACGCGCAGCAAUAUCCGUGUGUUCGACCUUCGAUCGAGAAUAUCAUAAAAAUCUCAAUAUGUUAGCGCCGAGUUCGCCUCACACUCAUAGAGCCGCCCCUCCGCGAGCGAGGGUGAGAAACACAGUGAACGAGCGAGCGAGUUUAGCGGUGAAUUAGUUACCUUCCACAUGAGGUUUUUGUUAAGGUGGCCCCAAGUGGCGGUGGCAGAUUUGGGGAUAUUGGGAGCUGAGGGUAAGAAGGCGUGACGUGCGUACGGCAGGGUGGCCACGAUGUGAGUCUCGGUCGAGGAGGGUUCACCUGGCACCGUUACCGCCGGCUGCCUAUCGACUAUCGCCCAGCUUCGACCGGAUACCAAGUACUGCAAAAGCAACCAAUCCGCCGUUCCCCCUUUAACCCUUCGUUUACCGAUGAGCAGGGCCAGCCCUGUCGCUGCUGUCGCUCGUGAUACAGUGUUUAAUGCGUGUGGAUGGACUGAUGUCGUCUAACCCGGUCGAGUGACGAUUUACGCGCAAUCGCCGACGUCAACGACUGGCAAACUCGACGUACAUCAUCAUGCGAUUCAGUAAACAAAGGGUUUCUCACAUAGCAAGCAACCGCACCGAUCCUUUACGAGUGACUUCGUUCCACCGGGAUAGCGGGAUAGGGGAUGGAGAGAAGGGUUAAAUGAAUCAACCUGGAAUGCUUCCAAGAGUACUGAUUGAUAAAUCCGCAAGAUUUUAAGUAAAAGGACCAAUACUUGGACAUUAAUAACAUUGAUAACUAAAUCUGGACGGUUUGAUUGUUUUAAUUUUUAAAUAUGAAUAUCUAAACUUUCAAAAUGUACAAUAUAUAUAUACAUAGGUUUUUCAGUAAUAUCCUAUUUAAAUUGACUCUAGGAACACGCUCUCUUAGUAUGUAUAGUUAGUUCAUGGAACACCCUUAUUCUGUACCGAAAGUUUAAACAGUCAUAUUGAAAGAUCAAAGUAAUUAAAAUCCAAAGUUAGGUACCAGUAUUAUUAGCGUCUAGGCUAAUGGUACUUCACCUUACACCCGAGCGUAGGAGGACUUCGAGAGAGAGGCUUCGUUUGAGGGUUACGUCGUGAACUACAACGUCUUAUCCCCGUCGCGUACGCGUUCCACCGAUUGAAGUUACUGGGGCCGGAAGGAAGGACCGGAAGAGCCGAGCGUCGCGAUCGAUGAAGCGACGGAACGAGAGACCUCGUGCGCCAAUUAGGAUACAUAAUCGUCUGGAUGCGGGGUGGAGGAGAGGGCGCGCUGUAGAUUUGGCGCGAGCGACACGAGCGAACACGUGCGGGAGAAGAUAUGGGCCGUGAGCUGUGCACAUCCAGCGGUAUCUCUCUCGCGCGUUACCGGAAGCGGAACGGAUUUAACUCGCGCGGGAGCGAAUCUACGACGUAGCGGCCUGAGAUACGCGACGUCGGCACGCACGCGGCCGACGGUCUCGUCGCGGUCUCUUUCCACCCACCGAACUUUCCUUCCUUCCUUCCUUCCUUCCUUCCUUCCCGCCGCCCUUUGACGGACGGAUGGACAUGCCGUGUUUGUUGUGCGAGGACGACACGUGAUUGCACCUGUUUCGCGACUCUAUAGGGACGAGUCACGCGACCGCCGGACAGCCGGACUUCCGCUCGAAAUGAAACCUACGACCCGACACGCAGUCGAAAAAGACUGCCGCGCUCGGUGUAUUCGGAUAAAUUGUCCUUGGGGCGCGCGAAGGACAGUGGAAGCUCGCGGCGGCGGCCAUUGGGUCGAAGGAUCCCCGAGUGGAAAGGAAGUCGAGCGAGAAAGUUUGUCACGUUUUCAUGUAAACAUCAGGGAUAAUUCGGAUAUUCGAGACGCGAUAAACUCGGACGAGAGAUAUCAUAAGUAUGAUAUUUAUAUUAAAAACUCUCCGUAGUUUCCAAACUUUCAAGGAGUAGAGGUAUCGUCGAGUUCGGAGUCUUAGAGACAUAUUAAUAGUCGUUAUUUGAGAAAUUGGUUUCACAUGAGACACUCAGAUUUUUAUUUGGAAUCAGAUCCGAGCUUUUCAGUUGAAUUGUUAUUUGUGAUAUUAUGUUUGUAAUUGCGGUUCAACUGAAAAACUCUAACUCUGAACUGGGUAUCUCACUUGAGAAGAGUUUCAAGUAACGACUAUUAAUACAGGCCUUAGAUUCACAGAAAGGUGACUGAAAAGUUUCGUUUCAUCUGAAUCGUAAAGUCCAGGUGCCAUAUUUCCAUAGCAGCUAAUGAAUAUAUGAUAGAAUUCCUCAAGUCAGAAUUAGGUCAUCGUCCGCUAUUUGUAGAGAGGAAGUGAGUGAAUAAUAAAAAAGUGUGCUUCGUUAUUUCAUAGAGCUUCUUUCUCACUUCUAUUCACGUCGCACCUAAAAAUGGCGGAUAGAAUGCAGAUCAACCAGGAAUCAUCCUGCUUUGUUCUAACUCUGACUAGAGGAACUCUAGCACAUGAUAUUCCGAUAAGUAAAAAGUUACAUUUUUGUUAAAUAUUUUUAGUAAGAUGAGUGUGACCCAAUUUUUAUUUAUUUAUUUUUUAUUUUAUACAAAACAUGUUAUAACUGAUAAUAUAUAAAAUUUAGAAUAAAAACAUGUUUAUGGUAAGUAUGGAUGUAAUAACUGAUUAUAGUAUUGCAGUAAAAAAACGAAUACAAUUGUCACAAAUUGUGACACGGUCACUAAUUGGGACAUUCAUCUUGUAUCAUCACUUACAUGUUUUUUGAUGUGCAAAAUCACAUCAACAAGUUAAUUCAAACUUCAAAUCAUGAGGUGAAUACUCCUACUUAGUGUAAUUAUUGAGAUUAACUUUAUGUAUACAAAAUGACGACUUUCAAUAUAUCGAGUCUCAAUGUUGCCUCGCUGUAAAUCUAGGGCUCUAGUCGAAUCCUCGGGGAUGUGAUGGGAUUUCUUUGUGUGGAAAUUUCUUCGGCCAUAAGAAGGAUAACUGUACUGCGCUGUCUUCUUAUCGAAUAGUCACCUUAGGUCUAGGUGACCUAAUUGUCUCUAUACUUUACCUUGCGUGGCUAUGCAGUCUGACGCUAAAUCAGCAAGACGCAUCUAGCGGAUAAGAGGAAUAAGAGAGAGACAGAGAGCGAAAGUGGCCGGUGAAUGAGCAUGUGUGAUGCGGUGGAGGUGUGACAGAUGUAGCGGAUCGCUUCGCGCGAAUUUUCCUCGCCCGUACACCUUUCUUUCCUUUUUCCUUUUUCGUCAUUUUCCAUUAAGUGGCUGAUCGUGUAAGUGAGUAGUGCCUGAGCGAGCAUUCGCACGCCUUUUAACCCUUCGCACUUGAAGCACCAAUCCGAUUAUCUUCUAUUUUAACUCUCAUCACAUUAUCGUAAUCGAGCUUAGCGAGAGAAAUUUUCGAAAAUUUAAGCGAGGUCAAGUCGAUCUCUAUUCGUCGCAUCGAUGAAACAUUCGAACAAUAUAUUUUUUCAAUAUUUUAUCUGAAGCAAUAAAUUCUACGUUUGAAUCGAGGAAAAUAAAUAUAAAAUUUUCAAACCUCAACAAACAACGCAGCGACGGCAAUCGCUGGGGCUCCAUACAUUAUAAAAAUACCCGUGAUUUCGUGGCCUUGUGGGUCGACUGAUAGCGCGGGCGUGGCGCAUGCGAAGGAUUAAAUGCCGCGUUCUUCAGCGUGUGAAAUGUGUCGGCGAAUUCGAUUCGAAAGAAACGCAUUUCCACUGCGAACAAUCGCAUCUUUGGCAAAGCGUUUUCGAUCGAUCGAUCGGCCGUCGUUCAGAGGUAGAGAAAAAAACCACUUAAUUACUCGAGGACGCGCAUCCAGGCGGAAUACGGAAGUGCCGUGAAGUGCAAGAGAGCAAAACGACGUGAGGCGCGACGUGUGAGUGCCUACAUAGAGUGCAUCCCUUCGUACUCCGCCCUUCGCGUGUCUAGUUAAAGUUGAGAGAGGAAAAAAGGGGUGCGCUCUCUCUGGUACAUUACGAAUCUUUCUAAACGUAUACCUUCCCUAUCGCCGACGAAAGUGCGUUUGUUUAAAGCCCUUCGUCGUGGAGGAACGAUCUGGUCGGUAAUGCGUAUUAAAAUGUAAACAGCAUGAGAUAAUCAUUAAACUAAAUUACGUUUUUACAUUAUUCCGUCGCGAUUAACCCUUUCAGUCCUAGAUCGUCUUACUGCCAUUUGCUGAUUUUAUGGAAACGUUUGUGGAAGUUACACUUCACCAAUUUUUUAAUUUUGUACAGAGAUAAAAAUUUUACUUUUGUGAAAAUGAUGUAGUAAUAUAA